Molecule: Y RNA, 102 nt
Filed under: Prolemur simus (greater bamboo lemur)
Lineage: Eukaryota; Metazoa; Chordata; Mammalia; Primates; Lemuridae
Description: Y RNA (ENSPSMG00000025334.1)
Rfam family: Y RNA
About the family: Y RNAs are components of the Ro ribonucleoprotein particle (Ro RNP), in association with Ro60 and La proteins. The Y RNAs and Ro60 and La proteins are well conserved, but the function of the Ro RNP is not known. In humans the RNA component can be one of four small RNAs -- hY1, hY3, hY4 and hY5.
Source: Rfam by way of RNAcentral
GGUUGGUCCCAGUGCGGUGUUGUUUACAACUAAUUGAUCACAACCAGUUACAGAUUCCUUUGUUCCUUCUGCACUUCCACUGCUUCACUUGACCAGCCUUUA